This 338-nucleotide unclassified non-coding RNA is filed under the name uncultured fungus. RNAcentral's name for it is "partial contains 5.8S ribosomal RNA and internal transcribed spacer 2". The stretch from base 1 to 133 matches the Rfam family "5.8S ribosomal RNA", at positions 22 to 154 of the family's 154-position model. The record is from RNAcentral. Lineage: Eukaryota; Fungi.
UGGUUCUGGCAUCGAUGAAGAACGCAGCGAAAUGCGAUAAGUAAUGUGAAUUGCAGAAUUCAGUGAAUCAUCGAAUCUUUGAACGCACAUUGCGCCCGCCAGCACUCUGGCGGGCAUGCCUGUCCGAGCGUCAUUUCAACCCCCCAGACGAAAAUUCUGGCGUUGGGGCCACCGCGGCAAGGCGGCGCCCCGAAAGCGAGCGGCGGGACCACUGGCACCCCUGGCGUAGUAACUUACAAUCGCCUAGGGCCUUAGUUGCUGGCGUCGUCCCUGCCCCUAACGUACCUAAACAAUACAUUUAAGAGGUUGACCUCGGAUCAGGUAGGGAUACCCGCUGA